RNAcentral lists this ribosomal RNA (279 nucleotides) under uncultured Staphylococcus sp. RNAcentral describes it as "partial 16S ribosomal RNA". It matches the Rfam family "Bacterial small subunit ribosomal RNA", at positions 505 to 783 of the family's 1533-position model. Lineage: Bacteria; Bacillati; Bacillota; Bacilli; Caryophanales; Staphylococcaceae. The record is from RNAcentral.
GUGCCAGCAGCCGCGGUAAUACGUAGGUGGCAAGCGUUAUCCGGAAUUAUUGGGCGUAAAGCGCGCGUAGGCGGUUUUUUAAGUCUGAUGUGAAAGCCCACGGCUCAACCGUGGAGGGUCAUUGGAAACUGGAAAACUUGAGUGCAGAAGAGGAAAGUGGAAUCCCAUGUGUAGCGGUGAAAUGCGCAGAGAUAUGGAGGAACACCAGUGGCGAAGGCGACUUUCUGGUCUGUAACUGACGCUGAUGUGCGAAAGCGUGGGGAUCAAACAGGAUUAGAU